Molecule: ribosomal RNA, 706 nt
Filed under: Golovinomyces sonchicola
Lineage: Eukaryota; Fungi; Ascomycota; Leotiomycetes; Helotiales; Erysiphaceae
Description: eukaryotic LSU rRNA
Rfam family: Eukaryotic large subunit ribosomal RNA
Source: RNAcentral
AGUAACGGCGAGUGAAGCGGUAACAGCUCAAAUUUGAAAUCUGGCUCCUGCGGAGUCCGAGUUGUAAUUUGUAGAAGAUGCUUUGGGAGGUAGGCUCGGCCUAAGUUCCUUGGAACAGGACAUCAGAGAGGGUGAGAAUCCCGUAUGUGGCCGUGGCCUACGCCCGUGUAAAGCUCUUUCGACGAGUCGAGUUGUUUGGGAAUGCAGCUCAAAAUGGGUGGUAAAUUUCAUCUAAAGCUAAAUAUUGGCCAGAGACCGAUAGCGCACAAGUAGAGUGAUCGAAAGAUGAAAAGCACUUUGGAAAGAGAGUUAAACAGUACGUGAAAUUGUUGAAAGGGAAGCGCUUGCACCCAGACUUGGGCGUCGUCGAUCAUCCGAGGUUCUCCUCGGUGCACUCGGCGAGGCACAGGCCAGCAUCGGUUUGGAUGGUUGGAGAAAGGCUCUAGGAACGUAGCUCUCUUCGGGGAGUGUUAUAGCCUAGGGCGUCAUGCAGCCCAUCCGGACCGAGGACCGCGCCUUCGGGCUAGGAUGCUGGCGUAAUGGUUGCAAGCGACCCGUCUUGAAACACGGACCAAGGAGUCUAACAUCUAUGCGAGUGUUUGGGCGUUAAACCCAUACGCGGAAUGAAAGUGAACGUAGGUGAGAACCCGUCGGGGUGCAUCAUCGACCGAUCCUGAUGUCUUCGGAUGGAUUUGAGUACGAACAU